This 1022-nucleotide ribosomal RNA is filed under the name marine metagenome. RNAcentral describes it as "bacterial SSU rRNA". It matches the Rfam family "Bacterial small subunit ribosomal RNA", at positions 8 to 1043 of the family's 1533-position model. The record is from RNAcentral.
AGAGUUUGAUCCUGGCUCAGGACGAACGCUGGCGGCGUGCUUAACACAUGCAAGUCGAACGAUGAAGCUGGAGCUUGCUCCGGUGGAUUAGUGGCGAACGGGUGAGUAACACGUGAGCAAUCUGCCCUUGACUCUGGGAUAACUGCGGGAAACUGUAGCUAAUACCGGAUACGACACCUUGGGGCAUCCCAGGGUGUGGAAAGAAUUUCGGUCAAGGAUGAGCUCGCGGCCUAUCAGCUAGUUGGUGAGGUAAUGGCUCACCAAGGCGACGACGGGUAGCCGGCCUGAGAGGGUGACCGGCCACACUGGAACUGAGACACGGUCCAGACUCCUACGGGAGGCAGCAGUGGGGAAUAUUGCACAAUGGGCGAAAGCCUGAUGCAGCAACGCCGCGUGAGGGAUGAAGGCCUUCGGGUUGUAAACCUCUUUUAGCAGGGAAGAAGCGAAAGUGACGGUACCUGCAGAAAAAGCACCGGCUAACUACGUGCCAGCAGCCGCGGUAAUACGUAGGGUGCAAGCGUUGUCCGGAAUUAUUGGGCGUAAAGAGCUCGUAGGCGGUUUGUCGCGUCUGCUGUGAAAAUCCAAGGCUCAACCUUGGACCUGCAGUGGGUACGGGCAAGCUAGAGUGCGGUAGGGGAGAUGGGAAUUCCUGGUGUAGCGGUGGAAUGCGCAGAUAUCAGGAGGAACACCAAUGGCGAAGGCACAUCUCUGGGCCGUAACUGACGCUGAGGAGCGAAAGCGUGGGGAGCGAACAGGAUUAGAUACCCUGGUAGUCCACGCCGUAAACGGUGGGUGCUAGUUGUGGGCCACAUUCCACGUGGUCUGUGACGAAGUUAACACAUUAAGCACCCCGCCUGGGGAGUACGGUCGCAAGACUAAAACUCAAAGGAAUUGACGGGGGCCCGCACAAGCGGCGGAGCAUGCGGAUUAAUUCGAUGCAACGCGAAGAACCUUACCAAGACUUGACAUAUAGUAGAAAAGCGUAGAAAUACGCUCCCCGCAAGGCUGCUAUACAGGUGGUG